CUACGUGCCAGCAGCCGCGGUAAUACGUAGGUGGCAAGCGUUGUCCGGAAUUAUUGGGCGUAAAGCGCGCGCAGGUGGUUUAAUAAGUCUGAUGUGAAAUCCCCGGGCUCAACCUGGGAACUGCGUUCUGAACUGGGUGACUAGAGUGUGUCAGAGGGAGGUAGAAUUCCACGUGUAGCAGUGAAAUGCGUAGAGAUGUGGAGGAAUACCGAUGGCGAAGGCAGCCUCCUGGGAUAACACUGACGUUCAUGCUCGAAAGCGUGGGUAGCAAACAGGAUUAGAUACCCUGGUAGUCCACGCCCUAAACGAUGUCAAUUAGCUGUUGGGCAACUUGAUUGCUUAGUAGCGUAGCUAACGCGUGAAAUUGACCGCCUGGGGAGUACGGUCGCAAGAUUAAAACUCAAAGGAAUUGACGGGGACCCGCACAAGCGGUGGAUGAUGUGGAUUAAUUCGAUGCAACGCGAAGAACCUUACCUGGUCUUGACAU
RNAcentral lists this ribosomal RNA (487 nucleotides) under uncultured bacterium. Its description in RNAcentral is "bacterial SSU rRNA". It matches the Rfam family "Bacterial small subunit ribosomal RNA", at positions 501 to 987 of the family's 1533-position model. The record is from RNAcentral.